RNAcentral lists this ribosomal RNA (1248 nucleotides) under metagenome. RNAcentral describes it as "bacterial LSU rRNA". It matches the Rfam family "Bacterial large subunit ribosomal RNA", at positions 1634 to 2874 of the family's 2925-position model. The record is from RNAcentral.
CCAUACGACCGUACCGCAAACCGACACUGGUGCGCGAGAUGAGUAUUCUAAGGCGCUUGAGAGAACUCAGGAGAAGGAACUCGGCAAAUUGACACCGUAACUUCAGAAGAAGGUGUGCCCUAUUAGUGUGUAGUGAACAACGAAGCAUGAAUGGGUUGCAAAAAAUCGGUGGCUGCGACUGUUUAUUAAAAACACAGCACUCUGCAAACACGAAAGUGGACGUAUAGGGUGUGACGCCUGCCCGGUGCUGGAAGAUUAAAUGAUGGGGUGCAAGCUCUUGAUUGAAGUCCCAGUAAACGGCGGCCGUAACCAUAACGGUCCUAAGGUAGCGAAAUUCCUUGUCGGGUAAGUUCCGACCUGCACGAAUGGCGUAACGAUGGCCACACUGUCUCCUCCUGAGACUCAGCGAAGUUGAAAUGUUUGUGAUGAUGCAAUCUCCCCGCGGAAAGACGGAAAGACCCCAUGAACCUUUACUGUAGCUUUGUAUUGGACUUUGAACAGAUCUGUGUAGGAUAGGUGGGAGGCUUUGAAGCAGGGUCGCUAGAUCUUGUGGAGCCAACGUUGAAAUACCACCCUGGUGUGUUUGAGGUUCUAACCUAGGUCCAUUAUCUGGAUCGGGGACAGUGCAUGGUAGGCAGUUUGACUGGGGCGGUCUCCUCCCAAAGCGUAACGGAGGAGUUCGAAGGUACGCUAGUUACGGUCGGACAUCGUGACGAUAGUGCAAUGGCAUAAGCGUGCUUAACUGCGAGACUGACAAGUCGAGCAGAUGCGAAAGCAGGACAUAGUGAUCCGGUGGUUCUGUAUGGAAGGGCCAUCGCUCAACGGAUAAAAGGUACUCUGGGGAUAACAGGCUGAUACCGCCCAAGAGUUCAUAUCGACGGCGGUGUUUGGCACCUCGAUGUCGGCUCAUCUCAUCCUGGGGCUGUAGCCGGUCCCAAGGGUAUGGCUGUUCGCCAUUUAAAGAGGUACGUGAGCUGGGUUUAAAACGUCGUGAGACAGUUUGGUCCCUAUCUUCCGUGGGCGCUGCAGAUUUGAGGAAGCCUGCUCCUAGUACGAGAGGACCGGAGUGGACACACCUCUGGUGUAUCGGUUGUCACGCCAGUGGCAUUGCCGAGUAGCUAAGUGUGGAAGAGAUAACCGCUGAAAGCAUCUAAGCGGGAAACUCGUUUCAAGAUGAGAUCUGCCGGGGCCUUGAGCCCCCUAAAGAGUCGUUCAAGACCAGGACGUCGAUAGGUCAGGUGUGGAAAC